RNAcentral lists this ribosomal RNA (301 nucleotides) under uncultured bacterium. RNAcentral's name for it is "partial 16S ribosomal RNA". It matches the Rfam family "Bacterial small subunit ribosomal RNA", at positions 509 to 807 of the family's 1533-position model. The record is from RNAcentral.
CAGUCGCCGCGGUAAUACAGAGGGUGCGAGCGUUAAUCGGAUUUACUGGGCGUAAAGCGUGCGUAGGCGGCUUCUUAAGUCGGAUGUGAAAUCCCUGAGCUUAACUUAGGAAUUGCAUUCGAUACUGGGAAGCUAGAGUAUGGGAGAGGAUGGUAGAAUUCCAGGUGUAGCGGUGAAAUGCGUAGAGAUCUGGAGGAAUACCGAUAGCGAAGGCAGCCAUCUGGCCUAAUACUGACGCUGAGGUACGAAAGCAUGGGGAGCAAACAGGAUUAGAUACCCCAGUAGUCCCUGUCUCUUAUAC